GGUGGGGCAGCAGAGGGGACCCGUGUCCUGUGGCGUCUCCGCCGCUGCUGCUUCGAGGUGGGCAGGAGGAAAGUGAUGGCCUGUGAAUGAAUAUUUGACAAAGUGUUUCUUUCCGAGGGGUAAAAGAGCGGCCCUGCUUAAAGUCUGAGUAUUUCCAUACCGGAGCAUAUCCCGAGGCAAGCUAUGGAAGAGAGACAAGUGUAAGGACGUGAAUUCAUCAUAAGGGGUUAAUUGGGUAAGCAAGGUGCACGACCGAGAGCUUUAGUGUUGUUCUGCCCAAGGCUGCUGAUAUUGAACAUUACCAGGUGAAUUU
Calypte anna (Anna's hummingbird) is the source of this 313-nucleotide long non-coding RNA. RefSeq lists it as uncharacterized. The record is from RefSeq and is a predicted model, not a curated record. The transcript has 3 exons. Lineage: Eukaryota; Metazoa; Chordata; Aves; Apodiformes; Trochilidae.